GAUGAACGCUGGCGGCGUGCCUAAUACAUGCAAGUCGAGCGAACGGACGAGAAGCUUGCUUCUCUGAUGUUAGCGGCGGACGGGUGAGUAACACGUGGAUAACCUACCUAUAAGACUGGGAUAACUUCGGGAAACCGGAGCUAAUACCGGAUAAUAUUUUGAACCGCAUGGUUCAGAAGUGAAAGACGGUCUUGCUGUCACUUAUAGAUGGAUCCGCGCUGCAUUAGCUAGUUGGUAAGGUAACGGCUUACCAAGGCAACGAUGCAUAGCCGACCUGAGAAGGUGAUCGGCCACACUGGAACUGAGACACGGUCCAGACUCCUACGGGAGGCAGCAGUAGGGAAUCUUCCGCAAUGGGCGAAAGCCUGACGGAGCAACGCCGCGUGAGUGAUGAAGGUCUUCGGAUCGUAAAACUCUGUUAUUAGGGAAGAACAUAUGUGUAAGUAACUGUGCACAUCUUGACGGUACCUAAUCAGAAAGCCACGGCUAACUACGUG
This 497-nucleotide ribosomal RNA is filed under the name uncultured bacterium. RNAcentral describes it as "partial 16S ribosomal RNA". It matches the Rfam family "Bacterial small subunit ribosomal RNA", at positions 28 to 507 of the family's 1533-position model. The record is from RNAcentral.